CCUACGGGUGGCAGCAGUGAGGAAUCUUGGUCAAUGGACGAGAGUCUGAACCAGCCAAGUAGCGUGAAGGAUGACUGCCCUAUGGGUUGUAAACUUCUUUUAUAAAGGAAUAAAACGAGGCACGUGUGCCUUUUUGUAUGUACUUUAUGAAUAAGGAUCGGCAAACUCCGUGCCAGCAGCCGCGGUAAUACGGAGGUUCCGAGCGUUAUCCGGAUUUAUUGGGUUUAAAGGGAGCGUAGAUGGGUUGUUAAGUCAGUUGUGAAAGUUUGCGGCUCAACCGUAAAAUUGCAAUUGAUACUGGCAGUCUUGAGUACAGUUGAGGUAGGCGGAAUUCGUGGUGUAGCGGUGAAAUGCUUAGAUAUCACGAAGAACCCCGAUUGCGAAGGCAGCUUACUAAACUGUGACUGACAUUGAUGCUCGAAAGUGUGGGUAUCAAACAGGAUUAGAUACCCUUGUAGUC
Molecule: ribosomal RNA, 460 nt
Filed under: uncultured bacterium
Lineage: Bacteria
Description: partial 16S ribosomal RNA
Rfam family: Bacterial small subunit ribosomal RNA
Source: RNAcentral